AUAACUUAGUCUUCCCUACCAGGUUACCACUAAUGACGGUAGUACAGUAAGACAAUUGACUCCUGAAAUGGUGUUGUCCUUAUUUUUAUUGAAAUUUUUUAAAUGAGAAUGAGAUGCAAGAUAUUGAUUUCUUAUACAAGAGAUAUACAAUCACUCAAUUAAUAAUUAUAAAGAAAAGCUAAAUUAUCUAUUCUAUUUAGCAAACAUACGAUCCAUACAGAACUUGUAUUGUGAACUUACGCCUUCAAUCAAACUUGAGCUGUGAGCACUUAACUCAGCAAUGGUCCAAAGGAGAGGAGAUUUUGAAAUGGAAUGGUGCCAUAUAGUCCGCCUAACUACCUAAGCAAGCCACCUUCAUCAUCUCAUUAAAAAAUGUAAUGAUCACCCCACAGAAUUUUUGACUUAAUAGAGUUUGGUAAAGCAUGAAAAAU
Molecule: unclassified non-coding RNA, 431 nt
Filed under: Hevea brasiliensis (rubber tree)
Lineage: Eukaryota; Viridiplantae; Streptophyta; Magnoliopsida; Malpighiales; Euphorbiaceae
Source: RNAcentral